UGCAACCGAGCAGAGAACUGCAUUAUGCAACC
RNAcentral lists this non-coding RNA (32 nucleotides) under Rattus norvegicus (Norway rat). Lineage: Eukaryota; Metazoa; Chordata; Mammalia; Rodentia; Muridae. The record is from RNAcentral.